GGGGCUAUGUAGAAUAAGUAGUUAUUUGCUGAUUUGUAGAUACUUAGUUUAUAGUGUAAACAGGGAUAGAUGACUGUUGGAAAGGUAGUUCAGUAGUUAAAAUGGAUGAAUAGUUAGGAAAAGCAGUUUUCAUUAGAGAUGUAGCAGUUGGUAUCUCGUGGUAGGAUAAGGAGGAUGAGAGAGAGGAAGAAAGGGCCAUUACUGUGAUAGUGUGAGCCGGGAUAAGCUUGGUGCUACCUCUUUUCUUUUGUUGUUAUGUUCUUUGUAAUAAGAGUAUUGAGAGUUUCUGAAUAUUGUGAAGUGAAUCAUGGAAUGAAAGUGUGAUUGGAAUUAUAUGUUAUUGAAUGAGAAAAAGAGAGAUUGAAUGCUGAAAUCUAAAUGUAGUUCAGCAGAAAG
This 396-nucleotide long non-coding RNA is filed under the name Physcomitrium patens. Its description in RNAcentral is "long non-coding RNA (PPAT_LNC001776)". The record is from RNAcentral. Lineage: Eukaryota; Viridiplantae; Streptophyta; Bryopsida; Funariales; Funariaceae.